AGUGAACGCUGGUGGUAGGCCUAACACAUGCAAGUCGAACGGCAGCACAGUAAGAGCUUGCUCUUACGGGUGGCGAGUGGCGGACGGGUGAGGAAUACAUCGGAAUCUACUUUUUCGUGGGGGAUAACGUAGGGAAACUUACGCUAAUACCGCAUACGACCUACGGGUGAAAGCAGGGGAUCUUCGGACCUUGCGCGAUUGAAUGAGCGGAUGUCGGAUUAGCUAGUUGGCGGGGUAAAGGCCCACCAAGGCGACGAUCCGUAGCUGGUCUGAGAGGAUGAUCAGCCACACUGGAACUGAGACACGGUCCAGACUCCUACGGGAGGCAGCAGUGGGGAAUAUUGGACAAUGGGCGCAAGCCUGAUCCAGCCAUACCGCGUGGGUGAAGAAGGCCUUCGGGUUGUAAAGCCCUUUUGUUGGGAAAGAAAAGCAGCAGGUUAAUACCCCGCUGUUCUGACGGUACCCAAAGAAUAAGCACCGGCUAACUUCGUG
This 492-nucleotide ribosomal RNA is filed under the name uncultured bacterium. RNAcentral describes it as "partial 16S ribosomal RNA". It matches the Rfam family "Bacterial small subunit ribosomal RNA", at positions 29 to 507 of the family's 1533-position model. The record is from RNAcentral.